GAUGAACGCUGGCGGUAUGCUUAACACAUGCAAGUCGAACGGACUCUUCGGAGUUAGUGGCGGACGGGUGAGUAACGCGUGAGAAUCUGGCUUUGGGUUCGGGACAACCACUGGAAACGGUGGCUAAUACCGGAUGUGCCGAGAGGUAAAAGAGAAAUUGCCUGAAGAUGAGCUCGCGUCUGAUUAGCUAGUUGGUGAGGUAAAGGCUCACCAAGGCAGCGAUCAGUAGCUGGUCUGAGAGGAUGACCAGCCACACUGGGACUGAGACACGGCCCAGACUCCUACGGGAGGCAGCAGUGGUGAAUUUUCCGCAAUGGGCGAAAGCCUGACGGAGCAAUACCGCGUGAGGGAAGAAGGCUCUUGGGUUGUAAACCUCUUUUCUUAGGGAAGAACAAAAUGACGGUACCUAAGGAAUCAGCAUCGGCUAACUCCGUG
Molecule: ribosomal RNA, 435 nt
Filed under: uncultured bacterium
Lineage: Bacteria
Description: partial 16S ribosomal RNA
Rfam family: Bacterial small subunit ribosomal RNA
Source: RNAcentral